CCUACGGGUGGCAGCAGUGAGGAAUAUUGGUCAAUGGACGCAAGCCUGAACCAGCCAUGCCGCGUGAAGGAUGACGGCCCUAUGGGUUGUAAACUGCUUUUGUACGAGGGUAAACGCAGAUACGUGUACCUGUCUGAAAGUACCGUACGAAUAAGGAUCGGCUAACUCCGUGCCAGCAGCCGCGGUAAUACGGAGGAUUCGAGCGUUAUCCGGAUUUAUUGGGUUUAAAGGGAGCGUAGGCGGUCUGUUAAGUUAGAGGUGAAAGCCCGAGGCUCAACUUCGGAAUUGCCGCUGAUACUGGUCGGCUAGAGAGUAGUUGCGGUAGGCGGAAUGUAUGGUGUAGCGGUGAAAUGCUUAGAGAUCAUGAAGAACACCGAUUGCGAAGGCAGCUUACCAAGCUACUUCUGACGUUGAGGCUCGAAAGUGUGGGGAGCAAACAGGAUUAGAUACCCUGGUAGUC
RNAcentral lists this ribosomal RNA (460 nucleotides) under uncultured bacterium. RNAcentral describes it as "partial 16S ribosomal RNA". It matches the Rfam family "Bacterial small subunit ribosomal RNA", at positions 338 to 795 of the family's 1533-position model. The record is from RNAcentral.